RNAcentral lists this unclassified non-coding RNA (344 nucleotides) under soil metagenome. RNAcentral's name for it is "partial contains 5.8S ribosomal RNA, internal transcribed spacer 2, and large subunit ribosomal RNA". The stretch from base 1 to 120 matches the Rfam family "5.8S ribosomal RNA", at positions 35 to 154 of the family's 154-position model. The record is from RNAcentral.
GAUGAAGAACGUAGCGAAAUGCGAUACGUAAUGUGAAUUGCAGAAUUCAGUGAAUCAUCGAGUCUUUGAACGCACAUUGCGCCCCCUGGUAUUCCGGGGGGCAUGCCUGUCCGAGCGUCAUUGCUGCCCUCAAGCACGGCUUGUGUGUUGGGCCUCCGCCCUCCUCCCGGGGGACGGGCCCGAAAGGCAGCGGCGGCACCGCGUCCGGUCCUCGAGCGUAUGGGGCUUCGUCACCCGCUCUUGUAGGCCCGGCCGGCGCUUGCCGACACAUCAAUCUUUUUUCCAGGUUGACCUCGGAUCAGGUAGGGAUACCCGCUGAACUUAAGCAUAUCAUAAGCGGAGGA